Elaeis guineensis (African oil palm) is the source of this 1058-nucleotide RNA transcript. RefSeq lists it as uncharacterized. Lineage: Eukaryota; Viridiplantae; Streptophyta; Magnoliopsida; Arecales; Arecaceae. The record is from RefSeq and is a predicted model, not a curated record.
AUCAGAUACUCAGGUGGCACAGACAGAAAGGUAGACCGGCGGCAGUUUCCGACCCAGCGAAAGUGAAGAAAAUUCCGUAGGCUACCAGAACGAGGUCUUGCGACGGUCUUUGUGAGUUGAGCGAGGAACAAUCCAGAAGUUUGAACUUGUUCCUUCCACAGUAGCCGAGAUCUGGGUUCUCAUCGAAGAGGCCGAAGUCUAAAAGGCCCUUGAGCUGGUACUCCUGGUUGUAGUCUAUCGACCAAGGUUGUGGUCUGGUGAAGCUACUGGAAUAGUCAGGAAGCAUGGUAUUCACAAGCUUUACUGGUGCUGGUGUUGGUUUUGGUUUUGGCAUUGGUUGUGGGUUUGGAGUUGGAUGGGGUUUUGGAGGUAUGCCCUUACAUACCUUUGGUCUGGGAAUAGGAGGUGGCUGCGGAGUGGGGCUUGGCCUUGGCUGGGGAUUUGGCAGUGGAUUUGGUUGUCAAUACCGCUCUUCUAAGGUCAGAUUCCAGGGUGCUGAAUUUGAUAAAAAGGCCGUUAUAGAAAAAGCAGCAGUCCCAGAAUCCUUAAAGCAUGUUCAAGAGGUUCCAGCUUCGAAGUAGGUCUUGGAAUUUGACAAAAGAUCUGUUGCUUGCAGAAUUCCUCUCUGUAUGACAUAAAAUCUAUCAUGAUAGCACGAGGAUGAUAAGGUGCAGAACGCAUUAUAUUUGUUAGGGAGCCUGAAGUAUCAAAUGCUGCCUUAAUUUUGUUCAUGUUGUCUGGUGCAUGGCACAAGCACCCUGUCUAUUGACAUCUUGACUGACCUCUGAAUGAAUGCUGAUCUACAUAGUGUGGCUCCAUUAGAUGUGUUAUUUGGUUAGGGCAACAGGAGGAGACUCACAUGAUAAAUUGUGAACUAGCUGAAUCUAUAGAGAGUAUGCAAGACUUGUCGAUGAGAAUGCUGGAAUUUAGUAGUUCCAAACAAGCCUAGCUUUCGGUAGCAUUGCUAUGCUUAGAUGAUGUCUGUGCCUUGGAACCUUAUGGAAACUGUUGUAAUGGUUACAACUUGACACAGACUGCUUUUGAAGUUGAAAUAAAAU